This 598-nucleotide long non-coding RNA is filed under the name Setaria viridis. RNAcentral's name for it is "long non-coding RNA (SVIR_LNC009878)". The record is from RNAcentral. Lineage: Eukaryota; Viridiplantae; Streptophyta; Magnoliopsida; Poales; Poaceae.
CCUCUUCCACAGCGAGAUGGAGAGGAACCAGAAGGAGAAGAGCGAGGAGCCUUGGGUCGGCCGCCGCAUCCUCGGGGUGGCCUUCGCGGGCGUCGUGGCCGUCGCCGCCGGCGCCUUCGUCAUGCUGUCGAGAAACGGGGACGGUGCAGAGCAGGAGCAGACGGCCGGGAGGACGAUGAAAGGGCCGGACACUAGCGGCGAGAGGAUCUCCCGCGACAAGUUCGAGGAGGACCCCAAGACAUACUUCAAGACCUGUCGCCAGAAGGGGCCCAAGGCCGCCGUUGACGAUUUCAAGUAACUGGCUGACGUCGACGGCUGCUAACAAAGUACAGCUCAUUCCCGCGUAAUAUAGUAGUUUCCAUUCCCUGCAUGAUGGCACGUAUGGUAGUACGGGACUAUGGGUGUUGUAGCACGGUUGAUCAAGGCGAGUGACUAUGACUACCGUCUACGUACCGGACUUUACAAGGCUAGUGUGUAAUAAUCUGUAUUGUAAUAUUGGGUCAAUUGUUCUGCCCAUGGCUGUUGCCAGAGCCUGCCAGGCUCCAACUGAAUGGUGGGACUCUUGGAUUGUUUUGCUUCGUUGGCCAAACAAAACAGC